CAAUUGGUACUGUCCUUUUAAGACCACCUGCCAAUCAAAUUAAUCAAGUGGGAGGCGGUCAGUGUUAGCAAACAGAGAGUUUAGUACACCAAACAAGCUAGCACAAUUCCAGUGUGAUUAUACAUUACAAGGCCUAAGCGAGCACAACAUCUUUCCCUGAUGGACUUUCACAGAAGAUUUGGGUGUUUUGAAAGCAGGGUCUUCUCUGGUUGGUUGUGAAGAUUUAAGUAAACAAAGCUGUUACUGUGGCAUAACUGACCUUUGGACCUGAAAAGUGGCAGCAGAGUCUUACUGAAACAAGAAGCCUCCGGAACCAUCCAAAAUAUCCUAUAUACAGAGGGGAGUUCAAAUUACACCUUGAAUGCUGAUUUAUUAGAGUGAAAAGUUGCUGGAGAUGGUGUCAACAGAGACAAACACAGAAAGAGCAUUGUGGAGGACCGAAAUGGUGGAGCUCAAUGUGAGAUGAGGAAGAUGUUGUUGAUAUGGAUGCACACAGGAUCUACAGUGAGGAAUGGAGUCUGCUGGGAC
Molecule: long non-coding RNA, 528 nt
Filed under: Sinocyclocheilus anshuiensis
Lineage: Eukaryota; Metazoa; Chordata; Actinopteri; Cypriniformes; Cyprinidae
Description: lncRNA (ENSSANG00000048432.1)
Source: RNAcentral